CCCAACACAUGCAAGUGCGAACGAUGAACCAUCCCGGCGGGGACCAGGGGCGAACGGGUGAGUAACACGUGGGCAAUCUGCCCUGCACUCUGGGACAAGCCCUGGAAACGGGGUCUAAUACCGGAUAUGAGCCGGAACCGCAUGGUUCUGGUUGUAAAGCUCCGGCGGUGCAGGAUGAGCCCGCGGCCUAUCAGCUUGUUGGUGAGGUAACGGCUCACCAAGGCGACGACGGGUAGCCGGCCUGAGAGGGCGACCGGCCACACUGGGACUGAGACACGGCCCAGACCCCGACGGGAGGCAGCAGUGGGGAAUAUUGCACAAUGGGCGCAAGCCUGAUGCAACGACGCCGCGUGAGGGAUGACGGCCUUCGGGUAGAAACCUCUUUAGCAGCGAAGAAGCGCA
RNAcentral lists this ribosomal RNA (402 nucleotides) under Streptomyces wadayamensis. Its description in RNAcentral is "bacterial SSU rRNA". It matches the Rfam family "Bacterial small subunit ribosomal RNA", at positions 47 to 454 of the family's 1533-position model. The record is from RNAcentral. Lineage: Bacteria; Bacillati; Actinomycetota; Actinomycetes; Kitasatosporales; Streptomycetaceae.